Daktulosphaira vitifoliae (grape phylloxera) is the source of this 546-nucleotide long non-coding RNA. RefSeq lists it as uncharacterized. The record is from RefSeq and is a predicted model, not a curated record. Lineage: Eukaryota; Metazoa; Arthropoda; Insecta; Hemiptera; Phylloxeridae. The transcript is spliced from 3 exons.
AGUAGUUCUUGAUAAUAAAUACAAUCAGUAGAUAAUGACUUUCAUGACCAUGAAGUUAGCAUUACUUUUAAAACAAUUUCUAUUCGGGUACAAGCAACGACUGCCAUUUUAUAACGCUUACUAACCACGCCAGAGAGCGCCAAUUAUACCAAAAAUUUGUAAUAUAUACAUUUUUCAAAAUCUAAGAGAGUUUAUAAUACUUAUAAUGCGUAUGAAAAUUGUCUUAAUGAAAAUUCAGGAUAUGAUGUUUGUGGAUUUUACUGUUCGACGUCUAAUGAACAGCAGCCUAGAAUUAAACUUCCUAAACCCAAAGAAUUUGACAAUUAUAACACUCGUUUACAGACUUUUGAAAACCGUCCAAAAAAAAAAUGGAAUCAAAAAUAUCAACUCUUUGUGAUGCUGGAUUUUUAUACUUAGGUAAUAGAUAAAUUGAUCAAAUGUUAUGUUACUGCUGCAGUCAAGGUUUGAAAGAUUGGGAUGAUGAAGACGAUCCAUGGGUAGAACAUGUACGUUGGUCUCCUAGCUGUACACAACGAAUUAAUUAUU